UGGAUCCAUGAAAGUUAGCACUCCCCUUGAUAAAGAUGAAAGAGGUCUUCGUGGCCUUUACAACACAUAUAUGGUUAAGGCAUUGCCACCUACUCUGUGGCAUCUAACCAUGACAGAGC
Molecule: small nuclear RNA, 119 nt
Organism: Vombatus ursinus (common wombat)
Lineage: Eukaryota; Metazoa; Chordata; Mammalia; Diprotodontia; Vombatidae
Source: Ensembl